AACUCGAAGUAUUGGAGUUUUUGGAAAUGUGUGCACCCUACGAAAAAGAAGUAAGGAAAGUGAAAAGACGGCGAUUACGCGACCAAUCCAAUAAAAAUGAACAAUUUAGAAAACGUUAUAAUCUAAAUAAAGAUUUGGUGCGUAAUAUGCGUGCGAACUCAUAUGCCGUUAUCAUCGAAAUUUACAGACCUACCAGUGGAAACUAAGGUUUUAUAAUUGGAAUUUGGAAUGCUGGGUGUAUUGGGCUGUAUUUGACUGUACACAUGCCACCCCAUUGUAAAUUAAGAAGAGAUAUUACUGUAGAAAACAAUACCAUUCAUUAAAUAUAUAAUUGGUUAGUAAUGCUGACAUGGAGAUUAUAAGUGUGGAUGCCAACUGGAACUGGAGCUACUCAUGACAUUUGGGCAAAGCAGAGGCAUUAAGCAACAUCUAGAGGACUUAAGCUGGAAUAAAUCCUUAUGAUUACUUGGAGAUCCAGGAUAUGCUUUGGAGAAGUAUACUCCCAUCUCAAAUGCUAUACCAGGACCACAAGAAGCAUAUUACACUGUAAGAACAUGGAAUAUCAUUGAGAGCACAAUUGGGCUUCUAGAUUUAGAUGCCUACAUGUACUUUGAGUUCUUAUAGAGAACUAAAUGAAGGUCUAGCUGCUAGACAAACCCAUGUUGUUUAGUUGUGGAACUAAGAAAUUGAAACAUUUAUAAAUAAUAAUAUUGUUAAUAGGUCAAUGUUUUAAUUAUUUGUUUUUAUAAUAAAUGAUAUAGGUACAUUA
Achroia grisella is the source of this 769-nucleotide long non-coding RNA. RefSeq lists it as uncharacterized. The transcript has 4 exons. The record is from RefSeq and is a predicted model, not a curated record. NCBI's taxonomy places the organism in Eukaryota, Metazoa, Arthropoda, Insecta, Lepidoptera, Pyralidae.